RNAcentral lists this long non-coding RNA (5133 nucleotides) under Sus scrofa (pig). Its description in RNAcentral is "lncRNA (ENSSSCG00055009761.1)". Lineage: Eukaryota; Metazoa; Chordata; Mammalia; Artiodactyla; Suidae. The record is from RNAcentral.
UUAUCAUAUAUUGAAUAAAAGAGAGAUGGUAUGAGUUAAAACAUUAUUUUCACAUUGGAGAGUAAAUGAAUAUUUCCUAUGGUUGAUGAAUCAAUAUAUAAAAUGUAAUAUUUUGGAGUUCCUGUCAUGGCGCAGUGGUUAACGAAUCCGACUAGGAACCAUGAGGUUGCGGGUUCGGUCCCUGCCCUUGCUCAUGGGUUAACGAUCUGGCGUUGCCGUGAGCUGUGGUGUAGGUUGCAGACGCGGCUCGGAUCCCACGUUGCUGUGGCUCUGGUGUAGGCCGGUGGCUACAGCUCCGAUUAGACCCCUAGCCUGGGAACCUCCAUAUGCCGCAGAAGCGGCCCAAAGAAAUAGCAAAAAAGACCAAAAAUAAAUAAAUAAAUAAAUAAAUAAAUAAAAUGUAAUAUUUUAUAUGGAGUUUUGAAGUAACCUCAUGAAAAAAAAUAAUGUGACAAAUUCUCUGGAGUGAGUUUGAGAGUAGGAAAAUGUGGGAUGGAAUAUUUAUCCAGAAACAUUUCUGAACAUUUGAUUUAUUGCUGUAUAACUGAUAAAUGUAGAAUACAGUACUUAAUAUUGUUAGCACUCCAUUUUUGUGUAAUAUAGGGCCAAGAUUUUCUCUUGGCACAUAUUGUUACCUUUAAUUUUAUCAUCUAUCAUUUUGGAUUUAAAAUAUUUUAGGCUUUAAUAGGUAUGAAUUUAGUCCUCUUGUAAAUGAACCAAAGUUUCAAAAAGGAAAAAAAAGUGAUGUUUGAAGAAAAAAGUGUAAACAAAAUAAAGAAAACAUGUAAUUUGCUCUUUAAUGUGCCUUAGAGAAGUUAAAAACUUGGCUGACAAUUAGUUGAUGACUUCCUAGGAAAAUGUAUAAAAAUAUCAAGACAUGUCAUAGCAUAAUUUAACAUUUUUUAUUAUAGUGCUCAUAUUUUUUGUUAAAUUGUGAUUAGAUUGCUAUCAAGAGCAAUAUUUAUUUUUUUAUAAUAUUUUCUCUUUCAGUAUUUAAUUUUUAUUCUCAUCUAUUCUUUCUCUAUCACCUUAAUUAUUUACCUUUUAUUUCUCUUUGCUAACUUCAUGUGAAAUUAAUAGUUAAAAAAUCAUUAAAUUAUUUGUAUUAAAACACCUCCAAAUAUUGAUUUUACCUUGCAUAAAGUCCAUGAGCCUUUAAUUCAUAGGUUAUCAUAUUUGUUGUAUAGUAUCUAAGGGAAAGCAGUUUUAUAAAGAAUUAUAGAAUUAAAGCAAAAGCAUAAAGCAUUUACAGUUGAGAUAGAGUCCACUUGUGAUAUUCAGUGCAUCUCCAGUAUUCAGUUAUAAAAUGUUAACUUUAAUGUCUUUUUUUUUUUUUUUUUUUGAGGGCCACAUGUGCAGUAUAUGGAAGUUCUCAGGCUAGGGAUUGAAUCACAGCUGAAGCUGCCAGCCUGCGCCACUGCCAUAGCAACACUGGAUCCAAGCCUCCUGGCCUGCAACCUACCCCACAGCUCACAGCAAUGCUGGAUCCUUAACCUACUGAGCAAGGUCAAGGACUGAACUUGAAUCCUCAUGGAUACUAGUCAGGUUCAUUACCACUGAGCCACAAGGAGAACACCUAAUGUCUUCAUUUCAAGUUGUAUAAGAUCAGUUCCUUCUAACUACCAAGAAUUAUCUCAAAAUGCUUUUUUUUUUUCUUUUGGUCUUUCUAAGGCCAUGCCUGUUGCAUAUGUAGGUUCCCAGGCUAGGGGUUGAAUCAGAGCUGCAGCUGCCAACCUACAGCACAGCCACAGCAACUCCAGAUCUGAGCCUCAUCUGAGACCUACACCACAGCUCACAGCAACCCCGGAUCCUUAACCCACUGCAUGAGGCCAGGGAUCAAACCCGAGGCCUCAUGGAUACUAGUUGGAUACAUUACCUCUGAGCCAUGAUGGGAACUCCUGCUCUUGUUUUACUUUGUGCCAUUUUCAGAAUUGUGAACAGUCUGUUGAAAAAUCAUUUUUCAGAUUGAUUUUUUAUCCAUUAAUUUGUGUAUAUUAACACUACUGAAGUCUCUUUAAUAAUUCUUAUUUUAUUGCUUUAUGAAAACAAACACAGGAUGUACCAAAACUUAAGCUGUAAAACCAAGUAAAUUUGAGAAUCAAUACACUAUUGACAAAAGCACUGCCAUACCCUUGGUAUAAGCAAUGCCCUUUCUUCAGAAAAGUAGCAGUUGCAAUCUCUGUUUUAACAUGCAAAUGUAUAGUGUACUCCAAAGCCAUCAAUUUAAGCCAAUACUUCUGCUACAGUUUUUGGCAAACCCCUUGUCCAGUGUCCAUCAUUUAAUUUCACCUUGACCAUGUCCUUGCCAUCCUCCCUUACCACAAGUAUUCCCUUGCUUUGCUUUCCUUUCACUUACCAUACUUCUUUGUUACUUUUGAUUCGUAUUCCUUAGUGAACUUUAAGUCAUAUCUCUCCCCAUAGUAUUUAAAAAUGAAUUACUAAAGGAAUUUGAAGACAAAAAUUAAAUAAGAAGGAGGAAAAGGAAGACGAGAAAAUGAAAAAGAGAAAUAAAGAGAAGAGAGAAGAAAAAGACAAGGAUACAAGAUGUAAAGAAUGUUAAAAGAGAGGGGCAGAGAUUAUAGCAGAGACAUAAAGUCCCCAGUUGUUGAAAGGAAAUUUCUUUUCUCUUCAACUACCCUAUAGAUUCACUGUCAACAAACUAUCAUGGUAAGAAAGGAUUUUUGAGCUUCACAUGGUAUGGUCACAAAUGUAGCCCUAAUGAUAACUUUAAAAGGUACCUUUCCCUAAAACAGGUGAUAUCCAUCUUUUAUUUUAUGAUCAAAUAAACACUAUUAAUGAGUCAAAUAGCUCAAGUAAAUCUCUUAAACAGCUUAAUAAUAAGGAAUUAAAUUGUGUAUUAUAUUCAAGUUAGAAAGGUAACUUCUGAUUGCAGUUUCAAUUGAAACUGGUUUUCCAGUUUCUAUUGAGAUUGCAAUAGGAGCACUCAAACUCAGACCAAGUGUUAAUCAAAUGGCUCUUGUGGGGGUAUGAAAAAGCUACCUCAUAAAGUUAAGCCAUUUGCAUUGGGUUACAUUUGUUCACACCUAUUGAAUUACUAAUCCCAUUAUAUUACUUUUAGUAAUUUAGGUUCACUGGGGCAGAGAAAGAAUUAGAUUGACAAUGAUAGCAGCCCCAAAGAGAAGAUUAUUUCUGCUUCCUAUUUUCAGGGUUAAUUUCAGUUAAGCAGAAUGAAUUAUAACCAAAAGCUAACAGUUAAUCAUGUUGGCAAUACUUUAGUGUCUCAAUUUGUCAUCAAAAAUACUCUUUUAGUUCAAAAAAAAUAGAGGAUGACAGGCAUUCUUAUACUGACAUUUUGUUUUAUUCAAUUAUUAUUUCACUUUAAAAACACAUUUUUAUAUUCUCCAAUGCUUUCACAAUUUCUAAUGUAGAUUACAGAAAUGUUAGGAAACAAACUGUGUUAUCUUGGUAAUCUUCAUCAUUAAAUACUUUACAGUCAUACAAAAUUAAAAAAAAAUUUUUCUUAGAUUUUUAUGCUUCCAUCUACACAUUAUAUAUUUGAAAGGAAACUCUAAGGGAAAGUUUUAGGUAUCAAGACAUAGUUUUGUAAUUAUGAAAAAUAGCUGAUUUAGGAAAAAUCUUCAAAAUAAGAAUUGCCAUGUGUGGCAGCCUAAGAAGUAAUGACCCUGAUACUUGAUGUAUUUGUGUGUGUAUGUAUACACAGUUUAUAUAUAUACAUAUAUGCCUUUGUGUGUGUAUAUAUACACAAACACAUGUUUUAUUUAUAAUUUUAUAUAGCUUAUAAUUACACAAUUGAUAUAUCAUGUAAAUAUAUAUGAUAUAAUUAUGUACAUCUAUACAUAAAUAUGCAUAUAUUUAUUUAUAUUUUAUUAUUGCUAUUUUACAUAUGUUGAUAUAUUUCCAGAUCACUGUAUUUUUCCUUUCUAGUAGUUACAGCAAUGUUAUUUUCUCUGCUUGUUUUCUCUCUGUGUCUUGGUACCUCUAUACACUCACACUCUUUGCAUUAAUACUGUUCCCACAAAAAGUGAUAAAUAUGUUGGAAAAUGACCAAUUCAUAAAAAUAAAUAAAUAACUUUGCAAUAUUUUUAGCAUUAUACCUAAAAAUAUCAUUAUACCUAAAAAUAUUCUAAGUAUACAACUGCAUUUAAGUGUAAUAGGAUUGUCACUCAGUAAUGUUCCUUGGAGAAGAACUGUUAGUGGAGUUUUAGAAAGUAAGAAGCACACAGGUUUAACUUACAAAAGAUGUACUAACAGAAAUGAAGUUUCUUCCUUAGGUAUCUGGUUUUCCAGUUUUAUCACCAAAGGAUGGAUGGUCAAAGAGGCCAUAAAUAUAGGCCAAUUUAGUAUAGUCCACCAAGCUAAUUAUAAACAGAGAUUUUGCAAACAACAAAUACUAUUCUGAUCAUCCAUAUAGUUUUGAAAAAUAGAGCUGUUGACACACCAACAACUUACAAUGAUGUUCCCUUCAGUCAAGGCGUGAGGUUAAAUGCAUCCACAGGGUAACACUUUAAAGUAUGAGGCUUAUAUAUAAAAUUAGUGAGUUGAGAGCUAUUAAAUUCUAUCCGUGAUUAAUUAUUAGAUGUAUUUUUGUGCUAUUCUCUGGUUUGGAGGAUUUAUAAAUGACAAGACAUGUUUUGAGAGCCAGGAAAUAUUGGAAUAAUAUUCAAUUCCUACUUUUGUUUAAUUAUCUGGUCUCUCUGUAGGGUUUCUGAGGCAAGUAUAUGCACAAAUGGGAAAUAAAGCAGUGUUAACAGAUGGGCCAGUGUUCUGAUAUCACCUCCACAGGCCUCUCUGGUCUCUAGGUUACCAUUUCUUAUCCCCCAAGUCACAUUCAUAUUACUGGUAUAUACCUGGAAUUGACACCAGUGACAGGUCAGUUUAUUCAAAAUAUGACCUUAUAGAGAAUCCCCAUUGUGGCUCAGGGGGUUGUGAACCCAACUAGUAUCCAUGAAGAUUCGGGUUUGAUCCCUGGCCUCAAUCUCUGGGUUAAGGUUACAGCGUUGCUGUGAGCUGAGAUGUAGGUUGAAGAUGAGGCUCGGAUCUGGCAGUGUUGUGGCUGUGACUUAGGCCAGCAGCUGCAGGUCCUAUUCGACCGUUAACCUAGGAAUUUCUAUAAGCUGCGGAUGUGCCCCUAAAAAUGAAAAGAAAAAAAAA